UAUUUUUGGAGCACAUAUAAAACUCCUCUUAAAGUAGGGUCAAAACAAUCAGAUUUUUUUUCAUGUGCGACGAAAAAUUUUUACCAAAAAGACAACCUGAAUUAAAGUUGAAAUAAUGAUUUCCACGAAUCAUGCAAAAUUUUCUUGGGGAAAUUAUUUUGCGCGUUGCACCACAGCCUGUAAGUUGUAAGAAACUCACGGAUUUUAUCUGUCGGCGAGUUCAAUCAAUUUACAUAUUGUUUACUAAUGUAAACGAAUUCAUGUUGACUUUCUAAGAAAUAAAAAAAAAAGAAACGAUUUUAAAGAAAAAAUAAAAGCUCUUGGACGUAUUCUGAAAGAAGUUGAAACAGUAAACUCAAACUAUAAAUUAAAUUUGCUCAAAAUUCACUCGACUAACCCAAAAUAGUAUAGCACGUCUCUGGCCUGAAAAUGAUAGCAUGAUUAUUUUUAUCAAAACAUACAAAAUAUUUGCUACAACCUGCCAGAUUCCACAGUUGAUUAAAGUUUGAAUUUUAAGAAUUCUUGCUAUGAUAUAUUUUUUACUAUGAUUUUGGGUUUACAUAACAAGACACCCUCCAAAAUAACAACAAAAGAAAGUGUUAAAAAUGUCAUGGUUCCGGUCGGCACCAAGUAACGUUGCACGCAUGAAAUUGACAAGUAAUUGUUGUCCAAUCAUGUUUAUGUUUUUUAACUGCAACAUAAUUCUUUUCGUUGGUUAUUGCGUUGCUUGUAAGUACACUGAAUAGAAUGGAGAUUUGCUGUUCAUUUAAAACGAUUGUUGGAGGAACCUGUGGAUUCGACAGAAAAGAUCGAAAGCAAGACACCACAGUUNUACCUUUACAAGCAUGUAAAAAAGAAAUCAAUGCGCAUAGAUCCGCAUUUCAGUUUACGGGCAUCGAGAAUGAGAUAGAUCUGAUUCUUAGCCGAGCAGCCAUAUUUACUUCGCCGGAAGAUAUCCAUAGUUGGACUGUUUGUCCCCUGCAUCGAUCCAAACUUGGGCUAGGAUGGGCUAGAGGUAAUAACGCCAGGUGUAGAGUACCCAAUACACUCUCUAAUCACAGUGAAAUCAAGGGAAAGUGGCCAAAGUGCGAUAGGGGUAUUAGUAAGGACGAUUCGCAGCUGAUAUUAAAGAAGACUGGCAUUUCCCUGCAAGUUGGAUCAGGUAAGAAAUAUGUAAUGAAUAUUUAAUUUAUGUUAAAUGAUUGUAUAUGAAUGUUCGAUAUGCUAUUUUUUUUGCCAGGUAUCUGUUCAUAUUGUCGUAAGACGUUGAAGACAUUGGGGCCAAUUAGUCCAAAUAAAGCAGAAAGUCUUCUCGAUCAGAUGAGUGCAUUACCACUUGUAAGUUAGAACUAGUAGUUCACUACUGAGGUUUUCCAUAUUCUGUGAACUCAGACAUUUCAUUGGCUUGUUGUGAAAUUGGUUUUCACUGCCGCCACUCAAGAACAAAGAAGAAUAGUGAUAAUGAGGAUGAGAAAGUAAAGUUUGGUCCACAAUUUACCACCCCAACGUUUCAAGCAUCAGCAGGUGUUGUUACGGAAACCCCUAUGAGCCUAUAUCAACCUGGCAAGACAUCUUUUGCUUCCACCAUCUCAGAAGAUGAAUAUUGGUCCUGAACUUCAUAUGGGCUGGGCCUUAAAAUCAUCUGCUAAGAUCGAAAAAGCGGUUUUCUGAUACACAGGAAAAGUACCUAGUUGAUGUGUUCGAUGCUGGGGAGCAAACAGGUCAAAAAGCCGAUCCAGCUGAUGUAUCGAGAGAGAUGAGAUCGGCCAGACACAUCGACAGUUCACGUCAUUUUAACAAGAGCGACUUUCUAACAUCACAGCAGAUCGCUAGCUUUUUCUCGCGCUUGGCGAAAAAGAGGAGGACAACAGCAGCCGAAGAUGAAGAUAAUGAUGAUGAUGACGGUGCUGCUGCUGAUGAUGGUGAUGACGAUGACAAGGGCAAUGACGAUAUAAAUAACGAUUUCGAAAAGCAAAAACAAAAAGAAAUCCAAGAAUUGACGAAAAUCUUGAUGGGCACAGUGGUUUUACUUACACUAAGGCCUACCUAAGUUUAAAAUAUUAGCAAAAUCAAAUUUUCGACCCUUGCCGCGGAUUUGCCAAAAUGUCUGAUUUUUGCUGACAACCACUCUUAAGUAGUAAAAUUUGGAGAAUUUCAAGUUUGUUGGUGGGUAGUAUCACUUUAAGUCUCCAUAAUUUUGAAUCCACCAGAUGAAAUUACUUGAAAGUCUGUAAAUAGUUCGGUUUUACUUUCCAGAUGAAUUUUUACAAUUUGUUAAAGAUUCUAUUGUAAAGUUUCAGAGAACAACUAAGUCUUUUUAUGCAUAAUAUGCAUAAAUUAACGCCGAUUGCCAUUACACACCCAACACUCAAACUUCAAUAGUCCCUUUCACAGUUCUCUACGCCAUCUUGAAAGGUAGCCGUGCCUUUGCUUCGAAGAGAGACGGACGGUGAGCUUGCAAUGAUAGAGACCUUUUUUAAGCACCUUGGACAAUUAUUCACAUGUCUUUAUCAUUGCAAGGUCACUGUUCGUGGUAGCAGGAAACAAAUUACACAAAGUUCCACUGCCUGUCGCCCGCAUUUCAUAACCUGAGGUUAUAACCAGCAGUCAUUAUCAUUAUUAUAAUUGUCGUCUUUGUUAGUUAGUUAGUUAGUUAGUUUAUUUAUUAAUUCAUUUAUUCAUUUUCAGAUCCAUGAUAUACUAAAAAGUAAACUUAAUAUCAUUCCUCAAGGCUUAUCAUACUGUAUCUAUCCUCAUGGGAUCAUUAUGAAGAUGGAAAUGUGGAUGUAACUUUUGACGGAGGAGUUAAUCUCCAUUGGCAAUAAAAAUGUAUAGAAGGCAACACACUACAAAAAAGGGAAGGGCGUAAAGAAAUUCUUUAAAGAAUCGACAAGCAUCGAGGAAGCAGGCAGUCCAAUGACUUUGAGAAUUCCGUUUGGUUUCGGAAAAGAAAUUACAAAACCGAACAAAUGUUUUAAAAAUAAAAUAAAAAUAAAAGUAGAGUCAUCUAUCGCAAUAAUCCUUUGGCGUUCCAUUCAUUCUACUAAGAGCCUAAAAGCGAUACCCUUUUCCCUAAAUCCACGAGAUAAAUAAAGAUUCAAAAACAGGA
Molecule: unclassified non-coding RNA, 3109 nt
Filed under: Actinia tenebrosa (Australian red waratah sea anemone)
Lineage: Eukaryota; Metazoa; Cnidaria; Anthozoa; Actiniaria; Actiniidae
Description: uncharacterized LOC116304713, transcript variant X2
Source: RNAcentral